Molecule: long non-coding RNA, 834 nt
Organism: Oncorhynchus masou masou (cherry salmon)
Lineage: Eukaryota; Metazoa; Chordata; Actinopteri; Salmoniformes; Salmonidae
Exons: 2
Source: RefSeq, a predicted model, not a curated record
ACUCACUAUGCAACUCAAUGUUUGUAGUUUGUUAGCUGGCUAGAACACAGCCGUUCUCUCCAGUGUCAUAAUCAUCUUCCUGGUCGGUAUGAUGGUUCACAUCCACUUUGUGAAGGUGGACCAUGUGACACUCAUCAUUGGUUCCCUGGGUGACCAGGUGUCUUCUAGCCACGCCUCCUGCACGGAAUCCUACAGACUUCAUAGAGAUGGGCAAGAUCAAAGACAUUAGUAAAUUAAAAUGAAGCUAUUGUGAGGUUCUGUGUUGUACACUAUAGCCCGUUACCAUAUCAUAUGUGAUGGAAUAUUAUUUGCUGUUGGCUUGUGUGGGUGUAUGUGUUAUGCAACAUAGCUGACUUGAGACAUCGUUAACAGUUUCAGGGCCAUGGGCCUUUCUCGUGAUGGAAAAAAUACAGAAUAACAUGAAGACAGGACCUGUGCAAUGAGUUGUGGGGGCACAUUCAGAACGUAGUGUUGCGAGAACAAACAGUCUUUUGUUAGAGAACAGGAGCCAGGUGUUGUGAUAACUGUAUUGAGUGUGUGAGCGCAUAUAUAUUCUACACAACUACAACGACUGACCGCUGAAGCGCUUAGGGGGCUGGGACCAGCUCGGGCGCUAACAAUCAACGAUAGGCUGGGUGAGUUUAAACCACGCCCAGUCUCUACUCUGACAGGCCGGCUCGGAAGCAGGAAUGACUUCUGUCAGUAUAUUAUAAUAUCUUUGUCAGGAACAAGUCAGUUCUCUGUUUGCCCUGCGAGGUGGGACAGAGAGCCUGUAUAUACUGAAAUUGCAUUUACCACUUAUUGCUUAGCUAAUAAAAAAUACAUAGCAUACAA